AGUGAACGCUGGCGGUAGGCCUAACACAUGCAAGUCGAACGGCAGCACAGUAAGAGCUUGCUCUUACGGGUGGCGAGUGGCGGACGGGUGAGGAAUACAUCGGAAUCUACUUUUUCGUGGGGGAUAACGUAGGGAAACUUACGCUAAUACCGCAUACGACCUACGGGUGAAAGCAGGGGAUCUUCGGACCUUGCGCGAUUGAAUGAGCCGAUGUCGGAUUAGUUAGUUGGCGGGGUAAAGGCCCACCAAGGCGACGAUACGUAGGUGGUCUGAGCGGAUGGUCAGCAACCCUGGAACUGAACCGCGGUCCAGACUCCUACGGGAGGCAGCAGUGGGGAAUGUUGGACAAUGGGCGCAAGCCUGAUCCAACCAUACCGCGUGGGUGAAGAAGGCCUUCGGGUUGUAAAGCCCUUUUGUUGGGAAAGAAAAGCAGCAGGUUAAUACCCCGCUGUUCUGACGGUACCCAAAGAAUAAGCACCGGCUAACUUCGUG
Molecule: ribosomal RNA, 492 nt
Filed under: uncultured bacterium
Lineage: Bacteria
Description: partial 16S ribosomal RNA
Rfam family: Bacterial small subunit ribosomal RNA
Source: RNAcentral